Molecule: ribosomal RNA, 424 nt
Filed under: uncultured Acidovorax sp.
Lineage: Bacteria; Pseudomonadati; Pseudomonadota; Betaproteobacteria; Burkholderiales; Comamonadaceae
Description: bacterial SSU rRNA
Rfam family: Bacterial small subunit ribosomal RNA
Source: RNAcentral
GGAAUUUUGGACAAUGGGCGAAAGCCUGAUCCAGCCAUGCCGCGUGCAGGAUGAAGGCCUUCGGGUUGUAAACUGCUUUUGUACGGAACGAAAAGCCUCGGGAUAAUACCCUGGGGUCAUGACGGUACCGUAAGAAUAAGCACCGGCUAACUACGUGCCAGCAGCCGCGGUAAUACGUAGGGUGCAAGCGUUAAUCGGAAUUACUGGGCGUAAAGCGUGCGCAGGCGGUUAUGUAAGACAGAUGUGAAAUCCCCGGGCUCAACCUGGGAACUGCAUUUGUGACUGCAUAGCUAGAGUACGGUAGAGGGGGAUGGAAUUCCGCGUGUAGCAGUGAAAUGCGUAGAUAUGCGGAGGAACACCGAUGGCGAAGGCAAUCCCCUGGACCUGUACUGACGCUCAUGCACGAAAGCGUGGGGAGCAAACA